UUUUUCAGUUAAAAAAUAAUAAACACCACAAACUGUCGUCACUGAUAGCCUCAUGGGCAGCGCGUCGACAUGUAGCGCCAUUGCGCUUCGGGUGUCCCGUGUUCGAGUCCUGGCUCGCGGACCUUUCCCCAUC
Sinocyclocheilus rhinocerous is the source of this 133-nucleotide long non-coding RNA. RefSeq lists it as uncharacterized. The record is from RefSeq and is a predicted model, not a curated record. NCBI's taxonomy places the organism in Eukaryota, Metazoa, Chordata, Actinopteri, Cypriniformes, Cyprinidae. The transcript has 3 exons.